AUUGAACGCUGGCGGCAGGCCUAACACAUGCAAGUCGAACGCGUGGCGGGCGGGUGAGUAAUGUCUGGAACACUGCCUUAUGGAGGGGGAUAACUACUGAAAACGGUAGCUAAUACCGCAUACCAUCGGAUGUUCCCAGAUGGGAUUAGCUAGUAGGUGGGGUAAAGGCUAACCUAGGCCACGAUCCCUAGCUGGUCUGAGAGGAUGACCGGCCACACUGGAACUGAGACACGGGCCAGACUCCUACGGGAGGCAGCAGUGGGGAAUAUUGCGCAAUGGGCGAAAGCCUGAUGAAGCAAUGCCGCGUGUAUGAAGAAGGCCUUCGGGUUGUAAAGUACUUUCAGCAGGGAGGCGUUACCCGCAGAGGAAGCCCCGGCUAACUACGUGCCAGCAGCCGCGGUAAUUC
Molecule: ribosomal RNA, 406 nt
Filed under: uncultured bacterium
Lineage: Bacteria
Description: partial 16S ribosomal RNA
Rfam family: Bacterial small subunit ribosomal RNA
Source: RNAcentral